This 363-nucleotide ribosomal RNA is filed under the name Ichthyosaura alpestris (Alpine newt). RNAcentral's name for it is "partial 12S ribosomal RNA". It matches the Rfam family "Bacterial small subunit ribosomal RNA", at positions 870 to 1403 of the family's 1533-position model. Lineage: Eukaryota; Metazoa; Chordata; Amphibia; Caudata; Salamandridae. The record is from RNAcentral.
CGCCAGAAUACUACGAGCAACAGCUUAAAACUCAAAGGACUUGGCGGUGCUCUACACCCCCCUAGAGGAGCCUGUUCUGUAAUCGACAAUCCCCGAUAAACCUCACCAUCUAUUGCUAGUACAGCCUAUAUACCACCGUCCAGCCCACCCUUUAAAGGAAAAAUAGUAGGCACAACUACACACAUAAAAACGUCAGGUCAAGGUGUAGCAUAUAAGAUGGGAAGAAAUGGGCUACAUUUUCUAACCUAGAAAACACGGAAAAGUUUAUGAAAUAAAACUAUAAAGGAGGAUUUAGUAGUAAAAAGAAAAAAGAGUGUUCUUUUUAAACCGGCAAUGGAGCGCGCACACACCGCCCGUCACCCU